Molecule: ribosomal RNA, 72 nt
Filed under: Pseudomonas aeruginosa
Lineage: Bacteria; Pseudomonadati; Pseudomonadota; Gammaproteobacteria; Pseudomonadales; Pseudomonadaceae
Also listed under: 3 other names
Source: RNAcentral
UCUGGCGGCAGUAGCGCGGUGGUCCCACCUGACCCCAUGCCGAACUCAGAAGUGAAACGCCGUAGCGCCGAU